RNAcentral lists this ribosomal RNA (250 nucleotides) under uncultured prokaryote. Its description in RNAcentral is "partial 16S ribosomal RNA". It matches the Rfam family "Bacterial small subunit ribosomal RNA", at positions 524 to 773 of the family's 1533-position model. The record is from RNAcentral.
UACGUAGGUGGCAAGCGUUGCCCGGAUUUACUGGGUGUAAAGGGCGCGUAGGCGGGGUAGCAAGUCAGGUGUGGAAUCUAUGGGCUUAACCCAUAAACUGCACUUGAAACUGUUAUUCUUGAGUGUCGGAGAGGUAGAUGGAAUUCCUAGUGUAGCGGUGAAAUGCGUAGAUAUUAGGAGGAACACCAGUGGCGAAGGCGAUCUACUGGACGACUACUGACGUUGAGGCUCGAAAGCGUGGGGAGCAAAC